Molecule: long non-coding RNA, 897 nt
Organism: Pygocentrus nattereri (red-bellied piranha)
Lineage: Eukaryota; Metazoa; Chordata; Actinopteri; Characiformes; Serrasalmidae
Exons: 3
Source: RefSeq, a predicted model, not a curated record
CAGAGAGAAACCUGGUCUGGAAUGCUGCUGGAGCUCAUUCUGCUUCUGAUUUAAUCGGUUUUUCUCGCACACAGUCGACUUGUCGUCUGUUCACUUACAGUCUCCUCACAGCUCUGAGAAGAGAAGCAUCAAAAUCGCCACACAAACAACUUGAUACAUAAACUCAGAUACAACCUCAUUAUGUAUGCAUACAGUCAAGGGGUGAGUCAAACAAGGGUCAUAGUCCAGCAACAGACCCAAGCUGCAGUAAUCCAGGCUCCAAAGCCAGCAAUGGUACUUCAGGCUGGGGCUUCGCCUGUUGUGUACCAGCAAGCUCCUCAACCAGCCUAUGUGAUGCAGCCCGCAGUUCAACCCGCUGUUCAAGUAGUCCAGCCCCAGGUUAUGCCAAGAGUGAUCCAGCCUGUGGCUCAGCCAGGGGUCGCAGUCUACCAAGCCCCACCAGGUGCCGUGGUGUAUCCACGUUAUUACUGAUUUCAUCUCCAACUUGAACCCGGAGAACCCGGAGAACCCAGAGAACCUGGAGAACUCCUGCCUGACAUGACAAAGUCUACACAUAUGGGGGUCUAUAAAAUAUAUGGAAUUUAAAAAUAAUCAGUAAGGAAAAGUGUAUUCUCUAUAAAAAUAAAUCACUAGGAAAGGUUUUGCUUUAAUUUUGAGGUCUUGAUAACUUUGGGUGUCUAUUAAUAAAAUAUUAAACCAGUAGAGCAAUUACAGUUUCACUUUUCUACCUAUUGUAAUGUAUAGAAGAUAGAACAUGUCUAGAUGUGCUGAAAUGAAUGUUUUCCAAUCCUGCAGCGAUACCAAACUUCAAAAGCAGUUUGCUUCCCGAAAUUGAGUUAUUUUUGUGGCACCCAGUUCAUUAGUGUGAUCUUAUAAAGUUAUUAGUGCACAAGGUAA